This 1635-nucleotide long non-coding RNA is filed under the name Pogona vitticeps (central bearded dragon). RNAcentral's name for it is "lncRNA (ENSPVIG00000025095.1)". Lineage: Eukaryota; Metazoa; Chordata; Lepidosauria; Squamata; Agamidae. The record is from RNAcentral.
AUGCACCAUCUCCCUGCCCACCUGGAACCUGGUCGGAGGACAGAGGGAAUCAAAACCUCCAUAGCUGCAGGUCCUGCCCUGGAGGAUAUUACUGCAAUGGCACUGGCCUGGUGUCCCCGUCAGGACAUUGUGCACCAGGGUUUUACUGCAUUGCCGGAUCCAUCACACCAUCUCCCACAAAUGGGAUUUCAGGGGCUCCGUGUCCAGUGGACCACUUUUGUCCAUUGGGCAGUGAGAGUCCCACUCCCUGCCCUCCUGGCUCCUAUGCUGCUGAGACCCACAGGCGGGAACGGUGCCACCCCUGUCCGGAGGGAAAAUACUGCCUCCUGGGUCACUCCCUACAACUGUGUCCCGAAGGUGAGUAGCCAGCUUCUCCACCAGGAAGGUACAGACCUGUCUAGUCUUCUACGGUUCUUCCUUGUAAAGUUCUGAUGGAACUCCCUCAUCUUUUAGGGUGGAAGGGCGCUCAGAAUGUCAUGGUUAUAAUAGAUAUGAGCAUGUGUAGUUCUCUUGUGUGCUCACUGUUUGCCCGAUGAAUCUGAGGUUUAUUCUCCACUCUGACUCAAGUUUGGUUUCACUAGGAGACCUCCUGAAAUUAACAAAACAAAGGGCAAUGCUGAAUUUAAAGUCUUGAAACCUUUGAGUUGUGCAAGGUUGUCAAAAAGACAUGGAAAUCAGGAUGAUAUCCUUUGGAGUCUGUCAGAUCCAAUGAAACACGCUCUUGUCUACAAAAGGCCAUGCUAUAUGUCAAGGGUGCUUGAUUAUCUUAACCUGAAGACUCUCACAUGGUUUAUAAGAAAGGCUUGCAUGUGGUCUCCCAUCCAAGCACUGACCGGCUUCUGACCUGCUUAGCUUCAGUACAGUUGCCUUCCACUUAUAGGAUGGGACCUGCUGCUUUUCUCUUGCUCUGAUGCAUCAGCCCAGCAUUAAGUUAUUUGGGAAGCAAGAAAGGUGUGUUUGGCUAAAGAGGCCAGUGUUUGCCUGCAUAGUUAAAACAGAUGUGCUCUUCCCUUCCAGGCUUCUACUGCCCUGAAGGAACAGGCUUAAACUGGCACCCCUGUCCCCCAGGAACCUACAGUCCUACCCCAGGGAUCAGCCGUAUUACUGACUGCAGAGCGUGUGAUGGAGGGAGGUUCUGCCUGUACCACAAUGCCACUGAUGUCACUGGAUUGUGUUGGGAAGGGUAUUACUGCACCCAAGCAUCAGACCGGCCUAAUCCUGACACCCACCCAAAUGGUAUGGAGCCUUCCUUGGUUCUUCUGUAACAUUCACCCUUCAGACAUAUGAAGGAUGGGUUUUUUGCCUUCAUCACAGCUGCCUACUGCCCCCCUCUCAAUGGCUGGUAGUCUAUGCAAAGAGCAAAGCACAUAAAAGGGUGUCAUCCUGGAAAGGCAGAACUUUAUACAAGAUCUUGGAAACUUACUUUUACAGUUACGGUUAUAAUCUAAAGGCCUUCUCCAUAGUAAUUUGUUCCCACUGUAAUUACUUACAUAUUUGGCUAACUUGCUCUUUCUGAAGAAUGUCUCCCACCAGGACAAAGACUCUAACUGGAACAUCUGGAAGUCACUUAAUAGACUUCAAAACAAAGUAGGAAGAUUAAAGAAUAAUCAAAUAAAAUGGGUCUACUUGGAUACA